GACGAACGCUGGCGGCGUGCUUAACACAUGCAAGUCGAGCGGUAAGGCCCUUUCGGGGGUACACGAGCGGCGAACGGGUGAGUAACACGUGGGUGACCUGCCCUCAGCUCUGGGAUAAGCCUGGGAAACUGGGUCUAAUACCGGAUAUGACCCCAUGACGCAUGUCGUGGGGUGGAAAGCCUUGUGCGGCUGAGGAUGGGCCCGCGGCCUAUCAGCUUGUUGGUGGGGUGAUGGCCCACCAAGGCGACGACGGGUAGCCGGCCUGAGAGGGCGACCGGCCACACUGGGACUGAGACACGGCCCAGACUCCUACGGGAGGCAGCAGUGGGGAAUCUUGCGCAAUGGGCGAAAGCCUGACGCAGCGACGCCGCGUGAGGGAUGACGGCCU
This 388-nucleotide ribosomal RNA is filed under the name uncultured bacterium. Its description in RNAcentral is "bacterial SSU rRNA". It matches the Rfam family "Bacterial small subunit ribosomal RNA", at positions 28 to 417 of the family's 1533-position model. The record is from RNAcentral.